Molecule: ribosomal RNA, 520 nt
Filed under: uncultured bacterium
Lineage: Bacteria
Description: bacterial SSU rRNA
Rfam family: Bacterial small subunit ribosomal RNA
Source: RNAcentral
AGAGUUUGAUUAUGGCUCAGGAUGAACGCUAGCUACAGGCUUAACACAUGCAAGUCGAGGGGCAGCAUGAGCUUAGCUUGCUAAGCUUGAUGGCGACCGGCGCACGGGUGAGUAACGCGUAUCCAACUUCCCCUUAGUAGGGCAUAGCCCGGUGAAAAUCGGAUUAAUACCCUAUGUUCUUCACAGCGGGCAUCUAACGUGAAGCAAAGGUUCACCGCUAAGGGAUGGGGAUGCGUCUGAUUAGGUAGUCGGCGGGUAACGGCCCACCGAGCCAUCGAUCAGUAGGGGUUCUGAGAGGAAGGUCCCCCACAUUGGAACUGAGACACGGUCCAAACUCCUACGGGAGGCAGCAGUGAGGAAUAUUGGUCAAUGGUCGAGAGACUGAACCAGCCAAGUAGCGUGCCAGGAUGACGGCCCUAUGGGUUGUAAACUGCUUUUAUGCGGGGAUAAAGUCACCCACGUGUGGGUGUUUGCAGGUACCGCAUGAAUAAGGACCGGCUAAUUCCGUGCCAGCCGCGGC